UACAGAGGUCCCCAAGCGUUGUUCGGAUUCACUGGGCGUAAAGGGUGCGUAGGUGGUGAGGUAAGUCGGAUGUGAAAUCUCCGAGCUCAACUCGGAAACUGCAUUGGAAACUACCUUGCUCGAGGGUUGGAGGGGGGGACUGGAAUGCUUGGUGUAGCAGUGAAAUGCGUAGAUAUCAAGCGGAACACCAGUGGCGAAGGCGAGUCCCUGGACAACUCCUGACACUGAUGCACGAAAGCUAGGGGAGCAAACAGG
Molecule: ribosomal RNA, 255 nt
Filed under: uncultured bacterium
Lineage: Bacteria
Description: partial 16S ribosomal RNA
Rfam family: Bacterial small subunit ribosomal RNA
Source: RNAcentral